This 575-nucleotide ribosomal RNA is filed under the name Camptothlipsis annemariae. Its description in RNAcentral is "eukaryotic LSU rRNA". It matches the Rfam family "Eukaryotic large subunit ribosomal RNA", at positions 386 to 736 of the family's 3401-position model. The record is from RNAcentral. Lineage: Eukaryota; Metazoa; Arthropoda; Insecta; Hymenoptera; Braconidae.
CCCGAGAAACCUAAAAGUUCGAAAAGAGAGAUUCAACGUCAGUGAGUAUUGUAUUCACGUGAGUAGUGAUGUGAGUUUUUAGUAGAAAGGUCAAACUUUUUAUUAUAUAACUUGCACAUUUUCAUGUUAUUUUAUUGCAAUACUAAUGCCGGCGUGCACUUCUCUCUUAGUAGGACGUCCCGACCCGUUGAGUCUUGGCCUACGGCACAGAUGGUAGACUUUAAUAUUUCGGUAUUGAAGACCACUGUUGUACUCCUGGCUAAAGUACUCGACGGUAGUAUAAUGAUAUGGUGUUAAGCCGCAUUAAUUUUAAUGCGUUCGGCCUGUCGCAAGUAAUUGAUAUUUUCCGUAUUUUAUAGACAAUGUGCUAUAUAUAUGGUAAUGUCGCUUUGCAUGACUGUGCUUUAGGACCGGCUUAUUCAUCUGUCAGGGACGCUUAGGCUUUGGGUACUCUCAGGACCCGUCUUGAAACACGGACCAAGGAGUCUAACAUGUACGCGAGUCAUUGGGUAUAUAUUUUCCUUCGGGAAUUUAUAUAAAACAAACCUAAAGGCGUAAUGAAAGUAAAGGUUGAA